CUGCCGGCGAGCGCUAGGACAGAGAGCUGUUUCUCUACUGGUGACACCGCCACGCACGUCACCGGACAUGACGUCAAGGAUAGCGUCACGGUCACGUGGGUCCCGCCAGCCAAUCUGCACGGGCCUGUGGCACUGACGGCCACGAUAGUUGCGCAGUUUUCUACCUUCUGGGUCGGUGUCACCGCUACUGUGCACCAAGGAGCCAAUCAUUUGAUCACUGGCUGAGCCGGAGUAGAACUAGUGAUUUGAUUUUCUACAGCGCAGCGUGGAACUUGAAAACAAUUAUUAUUAAAAAUCAUCGGCGAGAACAUGAA
This is a long non-coding RNA of Branchiostoma floridae (Florida lancelet), 314 nucleotides long. RefSeq lists it as uncharacterized. The record is from RefSeq and is a predicted model, not a curated record. The transcript has 3 exons. Lineage: Eukaryota; Metazoa; Chordata; Leptocardii; Amphioxiformes; Branchiostomatidae.